RNAcentral lists this ribosomal RNA (541 nucleotides) under uncultured bacterium. RNAcentral describes it as "bacterial SSU rRNA". It matches the Rfam family "Bacterial small subunit ribosomal RNA", at positions 355 to 896 of the family's 1533-position model. The record is from RNAcentral.
UGAGGAAUAUUGGUCAAUGGACGAAAGUCUGAACCAGCCAUCCCGCGUGCAGGAAGAAUGCGCUAUGCGUUGUAAACUGCUUUUCCAGGGGAAGAAAACCUCCGAUGUAUCGGGGCUUGCCGGUACCCUGGGAAUAAGCAUCGGCUAACUCCGUGCCAGCAGCCGCGGUAAUACGGAGGAUGCGAGCGUUAUCCGGAUUCAUUGGGUUUAAAGGGUGCGUAGGCGGACUUAUAAGUCAGUGGUGAAAACCUGCAGCUUAACUGUAGAACUGCCAUUGAUACUGUUAGUCUUGAGUAUGGUCAAGGUAGGCGGAAUGUGUAAUGUAGCGGUGAAAUGCUUAGAUAUUACACAGAACACCGAUUGCGAAGGCAGCUUGCUGGGCCAUUACUGACGCUGAUGCACGAAAGCGUGGGGAGCAAACAGGAUUAGAUACCCUGGUAGUCCACGCCGUAAACGAUGAUCACUCGCUGUUGGCGAUACACAGUCAGCGGCUAAGCAAAAGCAUUAAGUGAUCCACCUGGGGAGUACGGCCGCAAGGCUG